RNAcentral lists this ribosomal RNA (448 nucleotides) under uncultured bacterium. RNAcentral describes it as "bacterial SSU rRNA". It matches the Rfam family "Bacterial small subunit ribosomal RNA", at positions 329 to 793 of the family's 1533-position model. The record is from RNAcentral.
GUCCAGACUCCUACGGGAGGCAGCAGUGGGGAAUAUUGCACAAUGGGGGAAACCCUGAUGCAGCGACGCCGCGUGAGUGAAGAAGUAUUUCGGUAUGUAAAGCUCUAUCAGCAGGGAAGAUAAUGACGGUACCUGACUAAGAAGCCCCGGCUAACUACGUGCCUGCAGCCGCGGUAAUACGUAGGGGGCAAGCGUUAUCCGGAUUUACUGGGUGUAAAGGGUGCGUAGGUGGCAUGGCAAGUCAGAAGUGAAAGCCCGGGGCUCAACCCCGCGGACUGCUUUUGAAACUGUCAGGCUGGAGUACAGGAGAGGUAAGCGGAAUUCCUAGUGUAGCGGUGAAAUGCGUAGAUAUUAGGAGGAACACCAGUGGCGAAGGCGGCUUACUGGACUGUAACUGACACUGAGGCACGAAAGCGUGGGGAGCAAACAGGAUUAGAUACCCGAGUAU